This 253-nucleotide ribosomal RNA is filed under the name uncultured bacterium. RNAcentral describes it as "partial 16S ribosomal RNA". It matches the Rfam family "Bacterial small subunit ribosomal RNA", at positions 524 to 776 of the family's 1533-position model. The record is from RNAcentral.
UACGGAGGAUGCAAGCGUUAUCCGGAAUGCUUGGGCGUAAAGCGUCCGCAGGUGGCAAUGUAAGUCUGCUGUUAAAGAGUCUAGCUCAACUAGAUACAAGCAGUGGAAACUACAUAGCUAGAGUACGUUCGGGGCAGAGGGAAUUCCUGGUGUAGCGGUGAAAUGCGUAGAGAUCAGGAAGAACACCGGUGGCGAAGGCGCUCUGCUAGGCCGUAACUGACACUGAGGGACGAAAGCUAGGGGAGCGAAUGGG